RNAcentral lists this ribosomal RNA (414 nucleotides) under uncultured microorganism. RNAcentral describes it as "bacterial SSU rRNA". It matches the Rfam family "Archaeal small subunit ribosomal RNA", at positions 459 to 872 of the family's 1478-position model. The record is from RNAcentral.
CAGCCGCCGCGGUAAUACCGGCGGCCCGAGUGGUGGCCGCUAUUAUUGGGCUUAAAGCGUCCGUAGCCGGGUUGGUUAGUCUCCCGGGAAAUCUGGCCGCUUAACGGUCAGAAUUCCGGGAGAUACUGCCAGCCUAGGGACCGGGAGAGGCCGAGGGUAUUCCCGGAGUAGGGGUGAAAUCCUAUAAUCCCGGGAGGACCACCUGUGGCGAAGGCGCUCGGCUGGAACGGGUCCGACGGUGAGGGACGAAGGCCAGGGGAGCAAACCGGACUAGAUACCCGGGUAGUCCUGGCUGUAAACGAUGCGGACUUUGUGUCGGACAAGCUAUGAGCUUGUCCGGUGCCGGAGGGAAACCGUUAAGUCCGCCGCCUGGGGAGUACGGCCGCAAGGCUGAAACUUAAAGGAAUUGGCGGG